Molecule: ribosomal RNA, 564 nt
Filed under: Mucor hiemalis
Lineage: Eukaryota; Fungi; Mucoromycota; Mucoromycetes; Mucorales; Mucoraceae
Description: eukaryotic LSU rRNA
Rfam family: 5.8S ribosomal RNA (bases 200-352)
Source: RNAcentral
CUUGUUCUAGUUAGGUUCAUUCUUUUUUACUGUGAACUGUUUUAAUUUUCAGCGUUUGAGGAAUGUCUUUUAGUCAUAGGGAUAGACUAUUAGAAUGUUAACCGAGCUGAAGUCAGGUUUAGACCUGGUAUCCUAUUAAUUAUUUACCAAAAGAAUUCAGUAUUAUUAUUGUAACAUAAGCGUAAAAAACUUAUAAAACAACUUUUAACAACGGAUCUCUUGGUUCUCGCAUCGAUGAAGAACGUAGCAAAGUGCGAUAACUAGUGUGAAUUGCAUAUUCAGUGAAUCAUCGAGUCUUUGAACGCAACUUGCGCUCAAUGGUAUUCCAUUGAGCACGCCUGUUUCAGUAUCAAAAACACCCCACAUUCAUAAUUUUGUUGUGAAUGGAACUGAGAAUUUCGACUUGUUUGAAUUCUUUAAACUUAUUAGGCCUGAACUAUUGUUCUUUCUGCCUGAACAUUUUUUUAAUAUAAAGGAAUGCUCUAGUAUUAAGACUAUCUCUGGGGCCUCCCAAAUAAAACUUUCUUAAAUUUGAUCUGAAAUCAGGCGGGAUUACCCGCUGAA